This is a small nuclear RNA of Ailuropoda melanoleuca (giant panda), 107 nucleotides long. The record is from Ensembl. NCBI's taxonomy places the organism in Eukaryota, Metazoa, Chordata, Mammalia, Carnivora, Ursidae.
GUGCUCGUUUUGGCAGCACAUAUACUAAAACUGGAACAAUACAGAGAAGAUUGGCAUGGCCCCUGCAAGAGGAUGACAUGCAAAUUUGUGACAUGUUCCAUAUUUUU